AAAGUUUGAGCCAAAAAUUCGUUCAAAAACUCAAGUUAUGACUCCAACCAUUACUAAAAACAAAACCGCUCACUUACUGCCUUUGAUUUGAAAGUGCCACCCUCAACUCCUUAUAACUUUUUUACAUGAACUUCAAAAAUAAUAAUUUUUCUAUAAAAGAUGUAGGCCUUAAAAUUACCGUUUCAUUUGCACCUUCUGAUCUUCAAAAGCUAAUGUACAACUCCUUGUAUCUUCAAAAGAGUAACAAUAUGUCUUAAAUUAAUACCUUAACUUCAAACGGCUGUAACUUCUUCAUCCUAACUCCAAAUCUUCUAAUUUUUAUACAAAAAUUGUACUUCAAAUCAUAAUCUUUACAACCUUAGCUUUUAAUCUCCAAAUCCCUC
This 383-nucleotide long non-coding RNA is filed under the name Physcomitrium patens. Its description in RNAcentral is "long non-coding RNA (PPAT_LNC012751)". The record is from RNAcentral. Lineage: Eukaryota; Viridiplantae; Streptophyta; Bryopsida; Funariales; Funariaceae.